Molecule: ribosomal RNA, 433 nt
Filed under: uncultured bacterium
Lineage: Bacteria
Description: partial 16S ribosomal RNA
Rfam family: Bacterial small subunit ribosomal RNA
Source: RNAcentral
AACGAACGCUGGCGGCAUGCCUAACACAUGCAAGUCGAACGAGACCUUCGGGUCUAGUUGCGCACGGGUGCGUAACGCGUGGGAACCUGCCCUUAGGUUCGGAAUAACUCCCCGAAAGGGGUGCUAAUACCGGAUAAUGUCUUCGGACCAAAGAUUUAUCGCCUUUGGAUGGGCCCGCGUUGGAUUAGCUAGUUGGUAGGGUAAAAGCCUACCAAGGCGACGAUCCAUAGCUGGUCGGAGAGGAUGAUCAGCCACAAUGGGACUGCGACACGGCCCAGACUCCUACGGGAGGCAGCAGUGGGGAAUAUUGGACAAUGGGCGAAAGUCUGAUCCAGCAACGCCGCGUGAGUGAUGAAGGCCUUAGGGUUGUAAAGCUCUUUUACCCGGGAUGAUAAUGACAGUACCGGGAGAAUAAGCUCCGGCUAACUACGUG